RNAcentral lists this ribosomal RNA (300 nucleotides) under uncultured Pyrobaculum sp. RNAcentral's name for it is "bacterial SSU rRNA". It matches the Rfam family "Bacterial small subunit ribosomal RNA", at positions 496 to 795 of the family's 1533-position model. The record is from RNAcentral. Lineage: Archaea; Thermoproteati; Thermoproteota; Thermoprotei; Thermoproteales; Thermoproteaceae.
GCUAACAUAGGGCCAUCGGCCGGGGGAAGACGUAGGGUGCAAGGGGUAAUCGGAAUUACUGUGCGUAAAGCGGGCGCAGGCGGUGAUGCCAGACCGAUGUGAAAGCCCCGGGCUUAACCUGGGAACUGCAUUGGUGACUGCAUCGCUAGAGUAUGGCAGAGGGGGGUAGAAUUCCACGUGUAGCAGUAAAAUGCGUAGAGAUGUGGAGGAAUACCGAUGGCGAAGGCAGCCCCCUGGGCCAAUACUGACGCUCAUGCACGAAAGCGUGGGGAGCAAACAGGAUUAGAUACCCCAGUAGUC